This is an RNA transcript of Dromaius novaehollandiae (emu), 8725 nucleotides long. It is a transcript of the gene named DEAF1 transcription factor, with no coding region annotated. The transcript has 12 exons. NCBI's taxonomy places the organism in Eukaryota, Metazoa, Chordata, Aves, Casuariiformes, Dromaiidae. The record is from RefSeq and is a predicted model, not a curated record.
GCUCUCUGCCCUCCCCCACCCCCCUCCCUUCGGGCGCGAUCGGAGCGCUCGGCCCGGUUCGGUCGCUUUCGGGCGUACUCGGGCAGUGCCCGUUCGGGCGUCUCCGUUCGGGAUUACGAAGGGGAAUUCGGGCGCGAUCGGAGAGCACUCGGCACAGCUCGGCUUUCCUCGCGCCCGCCUCACCCGCCUUCGGGCGGGAUCGGAAAGGACUCGAGCCGAUUCGGGAUUCUUCGACCCUCCGGGCCGGACCGCUCGGGGACUCGGCCCUGUUCGGGCGGACUCGGGUUUCCCACCCGAUCUGUCAGGUAUCGCUUCGGGCCGCGCUACUACGGACUCGGCCGAGCUCGGCUCCCGUCCUGCGCUCGGAUUGGCCAGCCGGGAGGAAACGCGGGCCGAGCUCGACGGGAGCCACCGAUUGCCUUCGGACGAGGCCUAGCAGGACUCGGGAGACUUCGGGCACGAUCGGAAGCGGUUCGGAAGCGCCCGAUUCCGCCGCGGGGAACACGUUCGGAACCGUUCGGGCGAGCUCGGCACCGCUCGGCUGCCCAGCCGGGAGCGCUCGGGUGACCUCGGGGGAUCGCCCCCCCCGCCCCCGGGAGCCUCCCCCCCCCCCGUCUCGAGCCGCGCUCGGGGGGAGAACGGCGGGGGCCGGCUACCCCUCGCCCCCCGGCGCCGGCCGCCUCGCAUGGAGGACGCCGACUCGGCGGCGAAGCAGUUGGGCUUAGCGGAGGCGGCGGCAGUGGCGGCGGCGGCCGCAGCUGCAGCGGCGGCCGCGGAAGCAUCCGAGCAGCAGCAGCAACAGCAGCAGCAGCAGCAACAAGCCGCGGCACCGGAGGCGGAGCCCGAGGAGGAGGAGGAGGAGGAAGAGGCGGCGCAGGUGGCGGCAGUGACCGUGAUGGCGGCAGAAGCCGAACACAUCGAGAUGGGAGCCGAGUCCCUGCCGAGCGCCGACGAGGCCGCCGCCGCCGCCGCCGCCUUCGCAGAAGUCACCACAGUGACAGUAGCUAAUGUGGGUGCCUCUGCAGACAAUGUUUUCACUACAUCUGUGGCAAAUGCAGCUUCAAUUUCAGGACAUGUGCUGUCUGGGAGAACGGCCCUCCAAAUUGGGGACAGCUUGAAUACUGAAAAAGCCACUCUCAUAGUGGUUCACACAGACGGCAGCAUUGUAGAAACCACAGGGUUGAAGGGGCCAUCAGCACCUCUCACACCAGGACCGCAGUCUCCCCCCACCCCUUUAACGUCUGCCCAAGAAAAGACUGGAACCAAGUAUAACUGGGACCCGUCUGUGUACGACAAUGAGCUCCCAGUGAGGUGUCGGAAUAUCAGUGGGAUUCUGUAUAAAAACAGGCUCGGCUCAGGAGGCCGUGGUAGGUGCAUUAAGCAAGGGGAUAACUGGUACAGCCCCACUGAAUUUGAAGCCAUGGCAGGAAGAGCCAGCAGCAAAGACUGGAAAAGGAGUAUCCGCUAUGCUGGGAGGCCAUUGCAGUGCCUUAUUCACGAUGGGAUUUUAAAUCCUCACGCUGCCUCUUGUACUUGCGCUGCCUGCUGCGACGACAUGACCCUGAGUGGCCCUGUACGACUCUUUGUACCGUACAAAAGGCGGAAAAAAGAAAAUGAAAUGCCUGCAACUCCAGUGAAAAAGGAUUGCCCCAAAAAUAUAACCCUGCUCCCUGCUACAGCUGCUACUACAUUCACCGUGACUCCUUCUGGACAGAUCACUACCUCCGGUGCUCUGACCUUUGACCGUGCAUCGACAGUGGAAGCCACAGCAAUUAUCUCGGAAAGUCCAUCCCAAGGUGAUGUUUUCACUGGAGCCACUGUUCAGGAUACCAAUGUCCAGCAGCCUUGCCGGGUCAGUCACCCAGAACCUCACUAUCCAAGUUACCAGGACAACUGUCAGAUUUCACCUUUUCCUGAAGCUGCCCUGCCAACAUCUCAUCCAAAAAUUGUGCUGACCUCACUCCCUGCCUUGGCGGUGCCCCCCACUACCCCUACCAAAGCCAUAUCCCCUUCGGUGGUGAAUGGGCUGGAAGUGACCGAGCAGCGAAGCUGGCUGUACUUGGAAGAGAUGGUUAAUUCAUUGCUCAACACAGCCCAGCAACUGAAGACUCUCAUUGAACAGGCUAAACAGGCCAGCUCCUCCUUCCGCGAGGCUGCUGUCACGCAGGCGAAAAUUCAAGCUGAUGUGGAGAGGAAAGAGGCAUGAGUGUGCAGCAAGAGACCUUGAAGAAAUGUGUGUGGGAAGACUUUGCUGAGAGCUGAGAACCCCUAUGACAGUCCUUGCAGCGUCUUUGAUAUUCUUUGCCACGUUGUCUCUGCUAAACUCUUCUGUACGCUGCAUCCUUGAUGUGCAGUGGUUUCUGGAACAGCUGUUCAGUGUCCGUUCCCCCUCUGAUCCAAAUCCAGCUGAGGCAGAGUGUACUUACUUCAGUGUACUCAUAGUUUCUUCUUGUCCCAGGAAUGGGAGUUAAAAUCACUCCUGUGUACUGAUUAAAGUGCUGGCUUUACAAGGCAAGGAUGAGCAUGUGUUUGUUUCCAGAGGACGUCCUUUUCUCAGUAACUUUUGAAUCCCCAGCUAAACGAUUUAUGCCUCUUACCAUUCCUAUUUUGUACCAAACCUGUUUUGGUUCCUCAAUGGCUCAGUAUUUUGAUAAACUCUCUUGGUGAUGAUGGUAUUUUUUUGUAUCCAAAUAACAAUUGUCAAGCAUGCUGCUUUGUGCCAGCAUUUGCAACCAUCUGGGUAUACUGCAGGUAGCUAUUUCUGAAUACCAUCCACUGAAAAUUCAAUUUUUGGAAAAACCUCUGGGUUUCUGGGUACAGGACUGGCAUUUGAAGUAACUAUAAUAAAUGUCAAAUAAUUGGCUGUCCGCUUUUGUGUUGCUUAAAGGUGCUUUUCUGAUUUCAUGAGCGUUUCCGUGAUUUGUAACACAAGUCUCUUUCCCACCAUGUUUGUCUCUGAUGAUGACUGCUUUUUUGACACUUUAGGUAUAUGAGAAGGGGGAAUAGGAAUAAACCUACCUUUUUUGUUGAUGAUUUUUGCUGGACAAGUUUAAUACAAAGGAAAUAGGCGCUUUAUCAGUAUUUUGUAUUUGUUAUGUCCACAGAACUCCUAAGGGCUAAUGAACAGGUGGAGGGCACCUGCCACCUUUUUUCUUUGCAUUAACAGGGACAGUGGAUGCAGCAGUGUGGGCACUUCCAUGUAAGAGUACUACCAGUUUGCAGAUUUUCUGUGUUCUAUGUUCCUACGUAUUUAGAAAUGAAAGAUUGUUUCAUUAUGUCAGAGCUGUAGAGCAAAGGCUGUACAACAGAUUAAAUUAUAAUAGAGCUGUAGAUUCAGCUCUUCCUGGAAGAAUGAUUUAAUACAUAGCGGGAUUAAAGAAAUCUGCUAGUUCCCAACCGCAUACACAAACUUCAUUGCCGUGUUUGUAAAUAACAGGUAUCUUAACUUCCUACAGUGGUGCAGGACUGUUUCCCCAGUUCAGCACCUUGUCUCUUGAACUAGUGUUCAAGCAUUUUUGAUCUAGUGACUGCCAGCUCUGGCCCUGUUCAUCUAGCAUCCCUGCUAAAGAGGGAGAUAGCCUAUAAGGUCUAACAGAGGAGCAAGGCAAAGAGACUGGGACAGCAGUGUCUUUACCUGCCCUUCAGAGAGUGCCUGAAGCAGCCCCAAGUUUAAGCAGAGUAGAGAACAAGUGGUGAGAAGAGCAAGCAGGAAAACUUCCUUAUGUGCUACUUCUGUCUUAGUCUUCCUAGAAAACAAUAAAUUAAGAAGCGUUAAGAAUUGUUUAUCACUUAGUUAUAUGCCUUAUUGUAUAUUGUGUAUCACUUAUUAUAUUGCAUUUCACUUAUUUUAUUAUACUUAUUAUUUAAUGAGCUUUGGAGCUCAUUAAGCAUCACAAACAAAGCAAACUGCGUCCAUAUAGCAGCGGUUUAAUAUAAGCUUAAAAUACAAGAAGUUGUACUCUGUACUGAGCAGUGCUAUGUGCUUGUGGGAUCUACAGAACUCCUAACUGUGAGAGGCAGGCUUUUACUUCUAGUUUUCUUAGAGCAGUGGAGGGAUUUGUACAGACUGUAAGCUUAUGUUUGUUAUGUGUGAAGUCAAAGAGCAGACAUCACUAUUGCACUUUCUGGUCACGCUUGCUAAUGGUAUUUUCCAGGACUAUUCAAUGGAGUCUGAGGAAUAUAUUAUUCCCCUUAUUUAUAGAAUUUCUGAAAGUGGAAAUGCCAACAUUAGAGAGGAAUUUUGGCAGGAAGAGGAUCUGCUAAAAGGAGCAAAUAAAAAAAAAUAAUGAGCACAAUAUAAAUUGGAAGCAUCUACGGUCAGAUUUCUUUCUUAAGGUGGUAUGUCUAAUAUGAAUUUUGCAGGAAGAUUGAAUCCCUUACUGCAGUCCCAAACACAUGGCAAUACCUGGAUACGAAGUACUCAAAAUUAACAGGAUGACUGAAUUGGAAGACACUGAGAAUUUAGAAAGAAAAAAAAAGCAUUGAGCUGUAAAGUAAUGGAAUAUAAAUGUAUAUCUUCAUCUAUAAUUAGAAAAAAUAUUGGAAAAUACAUCUGUCUUUCAUUCUUUUCUUAUAUCUGACAUGAAGUUUUUGUUUACUCUGCCUCACUACUAGUAUUAUGAAUGUUACAGUUACACAAUGCUUUGUGUAAGGGUUUUGUGUUAUCCUUACCUAUCCUGAAGAAACUGUAGGUCACAAAUUCCAAGCACUGGAACUGAAGGCUUCACUGACGUAGUUUUCUCACACAUAAUUUUGUCAUUUGGAAGUCCUCAAAUGCACUCGGUUGCCAUCUUUGUCCUUUUAGUUUCUGUAAAUUUGUUUAAGGAUCAUGGUUUGGUGGGCAAACUUCAAGACUGAGGAUCUCUUCCAGAUUUUGUUUUCAGCUUCGCCACAAGUUACUUAGGUGCCCUCGGGUAAGUCCUUGGCCUCUCUGGGCCUCAGAGCCUGCUAUUUAAACUAAGAAUAGCACUUCCUUCACAGAGGGUUUGUCUACCAUUUUGCAAAGUGGUAGGAUAUCUGGGUAAAAGGCUUUGUAAAAGUACAAAGUGUCAACAAUAUAAGACCUUAAAAUAAGGACAGCUUGUAAAUCUGAAAAUUACAGUUCCAACAUUUAUGAGAAUAAUCUGUUUUUCAAUAAUUACAUUUGAAACAGAAUUGUUCAUAGAUUCCAAGGCAGGGGUUGAAAAGACCUUUUCUGUCUUGUUACUGUGUGCAGUAUCCCAUGUGCCUGUAGAGGGUGAGAACUCCUUAAUUAAAAAGCAGAGCCCUUGUAGUUCCAGAUAUGAAGAUGAAUCCUGUUUAAAAAACUUUAGUGGCCAUCAGCCAUGUGCUUUCCAUAUACAAGCAUUAGGCACAAGUGCAGUUGGUGCUCUGCCCAUGUAUGGCUUUCUGCUUGCAGAGUCACCACGUAUAUUUGUGUUACAUGAAAUCUCAGGAGGUGAUAUGCUGAAAAAAACCUCCACCAUAAACCCUGCAGUCCUGUGAUAAUACUAACUUUUUAAAAUGAAUCAUGCUUAUUACCAAAAAUAUUGCUGAAAAGCUUUUUAGAUGUUUUUCAUUGAAUGUAACUGCUCUGUCAGAAUUUCAUUCAGCUGUUCAUAGAAAGUUCUCUGCUAGCCUCAUUAAAUAACUUGUGAAUGAGUGUAUCUGAUCCUUUGGGUAUUGUCUUAAUUUUAGUUUUACUACAUUUUUUGAUUUAAAAAAAAAUUUAUGGAGAGGGUGAGCAGAUCAACAAAGGCUCAGUGUCUCUUACAAGAGAUAUUUGAUCACUUGCAGGAUUGGCCCAAAAGGAAUGGAUUAAAGACAGUAUUUUAUACAAAAGCCUAUGUGCUUUGAAAAUGUAAUUUUUUUGAGAGUGCAUUAAGCCAUCAUUUAUAUCAGAUGAACUUUAAGAAGGGGAAAAUAUGUAAACUCACCAAAUCAUGCGCCAGCAGACACUGCUGGAAGAUAAUAAAGACAUGCAGGAAAUGUGUUAAACAGUGUUCCUGUAUAAAUUAAAAAUAAUUGGUGUUGAAUUCUGACAGUUUUUUUAAACUGAAAUAGUCUUCUUUUUUAAUGCGGUGGUGUCUACAGGGCCCUGUCCAUUUGAAAACAAGGUAGAAGAUUAAAUCGCUUAACAGCUGGACCAUCUGAAUUCUUUUUUAGAAAGAUUAAAACAAUUCAGGGCUAGAGAGUACGAAAUUAACCUAAAAAGGGUUGGGCAUUUAAGAAAUGUAGCUCCAGUAGGCAAAUAACAGAUUAUACUCUCAAAAGCACCAGUGAAACCAGUUGAGAAUUGGAUGUUGGCAAGAGUUUUUCUGGAGAUGGUUUCGUGAGAGAUCUGGACAUGUCUGGCUUAAUCCUUCCUCUGAUCAUACCUUUUCCUUCUCCUUACUUUCUGAAUGCCUUGAAUUCUUCACACUGUGGGUCUUGCAUAACCAGAGGACUCACUGCUCAGAUGGAUAAAAAGAAGAUAGAAGAAGGUUAAGUACAUGUGUGGUUUCCACCAGUACAUUUCAGGGAUUGGGAGCAGAGAUGGAGGAGCUAUUGUGGCUCAGACAAGGAUAGUGGAUGGCUGAACUUCCUCUUGAUCUCUUUCUUGUUGGAAAUCUCCCAAGAAAACAGGAUUAGCCACGUUUAUAGAGGUUUAAGUGGAUUCUGAUGAUGGAAAGAGUUUCAAUUCUGGAACUAUGGCACUUUCUCAGAACUAAAAUUUGGUGUGUUCAUUGACAUGCAUGUGGCUCUGCACAGGCUAUUGCAGAAAGGACUUUACUGGCAGGGACUACGUAUGCAGUGAUUUUCUAGUUGUAUUUAAAUGCCAUCUAACCUCAUGCUUUGGUAUCCGUAUUUCUACCUUCCUCACCAAAAAGAAGUUUGGAAGCAUUUUGUAGUUUUCCUAGACCAUUUCUAUCCAGUUCUCUAAGUGUGGGUCAUUUGUCUUUCAUUUGCUAAUGGAAAGCUCAUUUCAACCUUUCCUGAAGAAUUUGCUGUUUUCUCCCAGCCCGAUUCUCUGCCUAGAUGCAGAGAAGUGACUGGAAGAGUGGCAGAGGGCAGAUGCUACAGCACAAAGCAUUGAGUCCCAGCUUCUCUGCUCCAGAUGCUCACUAAUAGUAAUAUCCUCUCAAGAAUCACAGUCAUUUUCUCCCUAAGACAUAAGAAGAUUGAUUCUUCUGCCAGAAGCCACAUCUCAAGCUUGCAGGUCUAUUUCCUGUCUUAAUGAGAAUGCUUUUGGCUUGGACAAAAUUUUGAUUUUCAAAGAGUAGCGUCAAAAUAAUAAUUUUGAAAUUUCAAUACACAUGAUAUACACUUAACUUUUACCUGCCCAAUACAUGAAGAGCUGAGGAUGCUGUGUUUGUGUUGCUAAUUAGUCUGGUCUUGCCUAUUAGUCUAAUAAUGGCAGAACCAAAUCAUAGCUCUUGUAUACAACAGGAGUAUUCUCUGCCUUCUUCUUCAUCUCCCUAGAGAGUUUUUUAAUUUAACUUUGUGUCAUGGUAACAUAAAGGUUUCAAAGGUUGUGAUUUCACAGGAGAAUAAAUACUGUGAUGUCAGGUCAUAGAGACACUCUGAAAUUAAGCCUUUAAUCUCCUUAUAUGUUGGGUCAUACUCCUGGGUCAACCUACUUUGCCUGAAGGUGUGGGUUGGUUUUUUUUUUUUUUCCUUUUUAACUCUUCCCAGUAGAACAGGGUUAGUAUGUAAUCAAAUUGGGCACAGUUUUGAAUUCCUUUGUUCUAUGAUCUUUGUUUCUCAGCAGAGUUGGCUGUUGAGCAUGGUAAUACUCAUGGUGGAGGAGCACUUGAUUGGACUCGUGAACUUGUUUGAAGUAAAGGUGCAACAUAUCUGAGGUGUGAACUGGUACAGACUCAGUUACUAUCCAGUAAUAAAUUGGAGGCAAAUUCACAUGUUCCUGAAACAGAAUCCCAGUUAUGGCUUAUCUUGAAAGACUGCUGCUUUUCCAACCCCACUGAAUUUGCCUAAUGUUUUAAUUGUGAAGAUUGAGCAUAAAUCCCUAGGUGCUCUGUACUCUGAAGAGAGAAGUUGGACUGACUGACUGACUGAUUGGCAGUAUUUCUGCUCCAGAGCAAACUAAAUUCCUUCAGCUUUAAAAUUCACUUCAGAGGACUGUUUAUUGUAUGCUUUUACCCUUUCAUUAAAAGGAAGAAUAAUGGUUAUGGUUGAUGAUGUCUUUAAAAAGUCUUGGGUAUGUUAAUUUUGUCCAUUUGUUUCCUAAUCCAAUCCCAUGUCUGUUGGGCUGUUCCAUCCUCCAGACUCUCUUUUGCCUUUUAGAGGGUUAGGAUCACUGGACUUGAACCAAAGUGGCCCAAGAAGGUGGCACUUUGGCUCUGUUGCCAUGGAAUUUUCCUCCAGUUUUCUUUGCUGACUUCUCAAUCUCUCAUGUGUGGGUUGAAGUCCUCUUGUACACAAUUAAGCCACCUGUUUAAAGAAUUAGAGUGCUCAGCCUGAUGGAGUGAGAGAGUGGGUUUUGAAUGAAUGGUGCAUUCAGCCGAUGGUUUGUCAUCUUGCUUCUCUAAAAUGGACCUUAUUCUUGAAGGCUUCUUCAUCUGUCUCCAAAUAAUGGCAUAGUGUCUCUUUGUUGUAAGGCAGCUCAAUGAUUCCUUCAGUGCUCUUCCAUAUAUAGUUUUGGGCUUGACAGAAGCAAGCUCUGUGGUAGGAUCCUCAAUGUAGUUCAUCCUUUUCAACUCCUUGUGUCAUAUGCUGGCUAUGAAUAACAAGUCUUGUGUAUUUUUCA